Molecule: long non-coding RNA, 4572 nt
Organism: Cydia fagiglandana
Lineage: Eukaryota; Metazoa; Arthropoda; Insecta; Lepidoptera; Tortricidae
Exons: 2
Source: RefSeq, a predicted model, not a curated record
GGUCUUAUGUCUUUAAUGUAAGAUUUAAAUGUUGUUAUCUCGUCGGAAUGGUAAAAGGGUCCCAGUGGUAACCGAACAAGCAUUUAUUAUUUAUGUAUCACGAAAAUUGUAUAAAGUUAUAAGAGAGAGGAAACGUGUUUGCUAGGGCUUGUGUUUGUCACUUUAAAAAAUAAACAAUGACGUUCAGAAAUUUGCUUUUUCAUUGUAUACGUUAGCACUUAAUGAUUAAGACCUAUUUGAUCAUUUUACAUUAUAAUCUUAGUUGUCCGAAUCGAAAGUAGGAGGGCUGAGACUGGACACUUGGACACCGAAAUAUGUCAUUAUUAUUAGACAUCAAGAUAGAUACUUUAAACUUAUCGUCUUGGGUCGUCCCAUUCGUUUUUCGUCAAGUUCUUAAAUUAGCCCUAUUCUGCUUUCGUCACUCAUUCUACAUUCGUUACAAUCGUCGGUGGCUUUCAAUGUAGAAUGAGUGACGAAAGUAGAAUAGGACUAAUUUAAAAACUUGACGAAAAACGAAUGGGACGACCCAAGACGAUACCACUUUAAAUGCCAAUUCUCUAUGUAAUCGCUCUGGCACUCUGAUAUAUUCCUUUCCCAUAGGUCCCUUUUGCAAACACUUUUUCUCACACAACUUGUUAACUGUAUGCACUGUGUAAUGGGCUAUAACCGCGAAAAUCGAAGUUCGCAAAUUGCGGGGAUUUUUCACUGUCACUCUAAUUACGCCUUCAUUGGAGUAAAAGAGAAAAAUCCCCGCAAUGUGCGAAUUUCGAUUUUCGCGGUAGCCAGUGUACAGCCACGAAAUAGAACCAAAUAAAUAUUUUUGUAAUACGUUUUAUGUUCCUGAGUAAAUCUUAUGUGAUUAUCGUAUGUGUGCGCGAUUCGCUUGUAUUUGAUUGGUAGUGUUAAGUAGUAUUUAUUUAUCUGGCUAGCAGAAGGAAAUACUUGGAAGUACAUGAUGUAUAAUAUUUUUAACAAAGUCUAAAUUUUACCAUAGGGACCGCUGUUAACAUGUUAAGGAAUAACUUAUCAACCUAUACCUACCUAUAGGCCGUCGAGUAAUUUUGACUUUGAUAGAAAUAUAAUGUAGCCGCUAAGUUACUGACACAGUUAUACUACCACGGUUUGACUUAUUUAUCAAUAGUAAUACAAAAAGACAAACUUAUCAUCUAUGUCACACAAUGUAGGGACAUGUACGCCCAUUGGGGCAACUUCGCCAAUCCUAGACGUCUAUACAUUCGACUAGACAAUUUGUUAGGCUCUGGCAUAAAAAUUCAGUCACCAAAUAAAUGUAAGAACUCGUGUUAUUCCUGAAUUACUAGUAGAUAUUAUCACACAUAUUUCGUGCGUCUAUUAUAGUUCACUUGUCAAUACUUUAUCCUUUGGACCGCCAAAAUUGACGAGCGCUACAGCCCAAUAUCAAUAUUUCGUUCAUUCUCACAAGGUUGACAAUGACGCGACGUUUACGAUAGGCGUGGCGUUCAAAGGGAUAAUGAAGAAUACCAAAUUCACACGCAAUGUCACUUCGUGAUUUGUCAGUACGUUGCGUCGCUGCUUGACUUUCGUUUAACAUAUACUCAAUCACACAAACGGGUCUACCGCGAUAUAAUUUCAUUGUUUUUACCUUAAAUUCCGUCUUAGUCUUUCCGUGACCACAGCUGGUGCAACUCAGCUGAAACGUGGGAAUUACAGGUAAAAACAAUGAAAUUAUAUCGCGGUAGACCCGUUUGUGUGAUUAAAUAUGUACAAAAAACGCGAGAGUUUAAAGUGUUUAACAUAUAGAGGGUAGAGAUAGAGAUGUGACCAGGGCAACUCGAUAACGAACCAUCAGGAAGUGAAUUUUCGCCAUGGCAUUAAGUUAAACCGUGGUUGUAUAACGGCUACUACUAUACUAAGAUUGUUUAUCCAAAUCAAUAGACAACUUGCAAUAAUCAGCCUUUUAGAAUAAACAAAUGCAUAUAUGUAUAAAUAUUUUUUACAUGCUAGCAAUAGUGCCGGUUUGCGUUGGUUUUGAUGUCGCGUUCGCUAGUGUAGAUUGAAAUAAGCUUUUAUCACGAAAUAUAUAGAUUUUCGUUGUUUAUAUAUUAAUGCGAUCGGUCCGGCAACUAAAGACUGCUAUAUCAUUAUGAUUUGUCAUGUUAUAUUAUAACUAUGUUUUGAUGUUUAAGGAAUGCUUAAAAUGUACUACGAUCUUCAUCAGUUGUUCAAAAGGAUUUUCAAACUGAAAAAUAUAAUGUAAUUUUAUCUAUGUCCGUCUAAUAAAGUAAUUUAAGCUACUCCUUGUCUAGAUAACGAAAUAAACUGAUGAAUUAAAAAACAACCCAUUUACCCUUUCACUGCCCGUCAGUCAAACAAGUCAACUUUGCCAUUGGAUGCUAACUUUGCCCGCUAACCUAAAAUGAUAACAUUAUACAUAAACCGAUGAUUAACUCUUUACCAGGCUGACAUAUCAAAAAUGGAAAUCGAAUGUCAGCUAGUCUUACUCAAAGAAAAUAGAAGACAUGUUUGAGGUGCCGUAUGUGGGAAAUAUAUAUCCCUUCGCCUGGUAAAGGGUUAUAAAACUUAUAAAUAAGCCGAUGAUGUAUCAUAUCAUCAAACAAGCUUUGCCUUAUAUUGCGAUGUAUGAAAUUUGAGUUUAAUACAUCAAAAACUACUUUAGGUACAAACCGUUUUGCAUUUCACUGGCAGUCAUUAGCUGCCGGACUGUUUGCGUGCGAAGCCAGAAGGACGUAUACGCAUUAUAACGACGAACAUAAUAUGACCUUUAACCUUAGUACGAUAGUGUAGUUACUGUAUACUUGUAUCGUCGAAUUUGAACACUGAUGCUAAGGCCGCUUUUCCCUGUCAGCAGUUAUAUGUGUACACUUGCGUUUUUAACUUCAUGUUACUUUCAUUUUAAAACUGUCAAAAUUUUCUAUGAUAGCGUUUUAAUUUAUAGAUACUUCCAUAGUAGGGUGGUUCACGUUUGUAUGGGAAAAAUUCAAACUCCAGCUAGAAAAAGCGGCACCCUCUCAUUUUAUUACACGUGUUCUGUUGACUAAAUAUGCCAAGUUUUGUAAUCUUAUCUCAACUACAAGGGGAUGCUCAAACACUUUGAAAUUUUUCAAAGUUGUAUGAAAUACAAAAGAAACAAGUUAUUAUUUUUUUCAGUUUUAUGUAAGUAGUAGUUUUCACAUUAUUUGAAAGUGUGAUUUAAAAGUUAUUUGAUGAAAAACUAUUUUUAUUUCUAUUUUUUAUGAUUUUUUAGGUGAAAUUCUAAAAAUCUUACUUUUCGAAAAAUUAUAAAAAAUAGAAAUAAAACUGUUUUUCUACUUAAAAACUUAUACAUCACAUGUGCAAAUAAUGUGAAAACAGAUACUUAAAUAAAAAUCUGAAUAAUAAAUAGUACUUCUGUUUUUUGGUUUUCAUACAACAUACAAAAUUUUCAAAGUGGUUGAGCACCCCCUUGUAGUUGAGAUAAAAUUACGAAACUUGGUGUAUUUUAUCAGCAUAAUAAGUGUAACAAAAUAAGGGGAUGGCCCGUCGGAAAAUAAAAAAAAAUUUUUUUUGAACCACCCUAUUCCAUAGUCUAAUAAAACAUGAUCUUUCCCAGAGUGACACAAGCUACGUCACAAUAACAUGGCCGCUAUAUGUAGCGCUAUCGCAUAUUAUCAUAUAGCGCUGUCGCAUGAUGACGUAGGCUUGUAUCAGUCACGUGACCACGAAAAGACGGUAAGAGAGUACCAGGCGGAAUAUAUUAUUAUACCAUGGAUACUUCUACGUCUUCUGCAGUUGUUAAACUGUAUUAUUAUUAUCCUAUAUACUAUGAUUCUGUUGUCCAAUCUACUAUACGAUUUGCUGUAAAAUGACAAUUGGAAUAUGCAUAUUGGGUAGUAGAUUAGCCAAUCGGCUGUUGUUUAUCUAGGAUAAAAAAACGAGUUUCAGUACUACCGGGCUAGCACAUGAUUGGCGCGACAUUAUCUCGUCUGCGAGAUAGACUACCCGUCCCUCUCUAAUUAAUACAGUUAGAAAAAGACAGGUAGUCUAUCUCGCGGGCGAAAUACUGUCGCGCCGCUCCUGUGCUAGGCCUACUGUUCAGAGAAAUGGCGGGCAUGUUUCGUUCAGUGCAUAAGCGGCCUUAGAGUUAGUUUAUAAUAUACAACGUACGCUUAAGUCUCCAUACGCGGUACCUGCAAUUUCUUUUCUAACAAUAUACAACAAUAGUAAUAGGUUCGUGUAAACAAAUGUAUGUAUUUUAACGUGCUAGAUAUUUAUUGUUUGUAUUUUUGCACGCUCAAUAAUAUAAAAUAAAUUUCGAAAUAAUACAUUUUCGACCAUAUUGCCGUCAAUUCAAGGUUUAAUUUGUCAUGUCUUUGUAUUAUUGAGCGUGCGUUUUGUAGAUCAAUUAAUUCGAUUUGACUGCGUUUAGGAGAUUAACAUAAUGUAAGUAGAUAUUUUGCACCUUAGCUUAAGGGAAAGUAGCCUGCAGGAACAUUAUCAAAAAACUCCAUGAAAACGUAAUGCCCUUAACAUUGUGAUUAGUAUCUCAAUAAAAAAUCUCAUUUUAAUAUUGCCUUUGUAUCCAGUAGUGGUUUA